Molecule: ribosomal RNA, 511 nt
Filed under: uncultured archaeon
Lineage: Archaea
Description: bacterial SSU rRNA
Rfam family: Archaeal small subunit ribosomal RNA
Source: RNAcentral
ACCUCUGCAAUAGGCGAAAGCCUGGCAGGGUUACUCUGAGUGAUUUUCGUUAAGAAAGUCUUUUGGCACCUCUAAAAAUGGUGCAGAAUAAGGGGUGGGCAAGUCUGGUGUCAGCCGCCGCGGUAAUACCAGCACCCCGAGUGGUCGGGACGAUUAUUGGGCCUAAAGCAUCCGUAGCCGGUUCUGCAAGUCUCCCGUUAAAUCCAACUGCUCAACAGGUGGGCUGCGGAGGAUACUACAGAGCUAGGAGGCAGGAGAGGCAAGCGGUACUCAGUGGGUAGGGGUAAAAUCCGUUGAUCCAUUGAAGACCACCAGUGGCGAAGGCGGCUUGCCAGAAUGCGCUCGACGGUGAGGGAUGAAAGCUGGGGGAGCAAACCGGAUUAGAUACCCGGGUAGUCCCAGCCGUAAACGAUGCAGACUCAGUGAUGGGUUGGCUUCGCGCUAACCCAGUGCCGCAGGGAAGCCGUUAAGUCUGCCGCCUGGGUAGUACGGUCGCAAGACUGAAACUUAA